GCGGAGGUGGCGCAGUUGGUUAGCGCGUAGGUCUCAUAUACUCUGUAUGACUUGGGGACUACCUACGGUCGAGGGUUCGAACCCCUCUCUCCGCA
Molecule: transfer RNA, 95 nt
Filed under: Pleodorina starrii
Lineage: Eukaryota; Viridiplantae; Chlorophyta; Chlorophyceae; Chlamydomonadales; Volvocaceae
Description: tRNA-Met
Rfam family: tRNA
About the family: Transfer RNA (tRNA) molecules are approximately 80 nucleotides in length. Their secondary structure includes four short double-helical elements and three loops (D, anti-codon, and T loops). Further hydrogen bonds mediate the characteristic L-shaped molecular structure. tRNAs have two regions of fundamental functional importance: the anti-codon, which is responsible for specific mRNA codon recognition, and the 3' end, to which the tRNAs corresponding amino acid is attached (by aminoacyl-tRNA synthetases). tRNAs cope with the degeneracy of the genetic code in two manners: having more than one tRNA (with a specific anti-codon) for a particular amino acid; and 'wobble' base-pairing, i.e. permitting non-standard base-pairing at the 3rd anti-codon position.
Source: RNAcentral